GACGAACUGUGCAAACGUUAUUCGGAAUCACUGGGCUUGAAGAGUGCGUAGGCGGUUUCGUAAGUCGGGUGUGAAAGCCCCCAGCUCAACUGGGGAACUGCGUCCUAAACUGCGAGGCUGGAGUGAGGUAGGGGUGUGUGGAACUUCCGGUGGAGCGGUGAAAUGUGUUGAUAUCGGAAGGAACGCCGGUGGCGAAAGCGACACACUGGGCCUUGUCUGACGCUGAGGAGCGAAAGCGUGGGGAGCGAACAGG
RNAcentral lists this ribosomal RNA (253 nucleotides) under uncultured bacterium. RNAcentral describes it as "partial 16S ribosomal RNA". It matches the Rfam family "Bacterial small subunit ribosomal RNA", at positions 524 to 776 of the family's 1533-position model. The record is from RNAcentral.